UGUUUUUUUUUGUUUUUUUUUCUUUCACCGCCUUGCUUGGGGAAGCAAUCAACAAAAAGCAUCCGGGUUCAGCAGAGACUUCAAGUAUAAACAUAUAACAGCCUGCGGUGUUCAGUGUCAGUCAUUGCUGCAGACCUUUGACCCAGAUUCAGGAUGUCACGUGAUUCAUGCUGCUUAGGUAGAGAGAUCACCUGAAAAAUGAGGUGCUUUUAUUAAAUGACACCAGUGAUCCAAUCAACAGCUUGGACUGAUCAACGAGACCUCAUACAUUAACUUGCAUCAUAUGUCCAUGUUAGUUUACGAGUUUGACUAAAUUUACCAGGAAGCAGAUCAGUUUAAAUGUGCUGCGCCAAUAACUUUAAACCUAUCCUAGUUUUUUUCAUUUCUAAGUCUGAUUUUCUUGUAAUCUUUUAAAGUUCUUCUAUAUACUUUACGAAAGUCUCUUUUAGUGUGGUUAAAAAAGUGGAAAAGGAGCUGAUGGACGUCAGGUCUUUUACAAAAUAAAAAAAGGGAACAGCAAAGACCUGAAACAGGACCUGAGAUGUGAAUCCCUCUUCAGUUGAUCAUAUUCUAUAUCCUAAGAUCCCAAGCAGGCUGAUUCUAUCGAAUCAUUGACUUUGAAGCAAUACCUCCUCCUGAGCUACCAUGUGGUGACAGUAGAGACAAACAACUCCCUUUUAGCAGAAAGAAACCUCUGGUAGAACCUUCAGUAGUACCGAGUUGGACCCACUUUUAACUCCAGAGCUGCCGUAAUUCUUCAUGGCGUAGACUGUCGCAGCUAAAAUCAAGAGACAUCAGACCAACCUGUCAUUGUAGCCUGAGUUUUCUGUCCUGAGUAGGCUGGAGUGGCACCUGAUGUGGUGUUCUGCUGCUGUAGCUCAUCUUCUUUAAGACAUCUGGACCAGCCUACUCAUUCUCCUGUGACAUCAACAAGGCAUUUUUGUCUACAUGACUGCCACCAACAGGAUGUAAUCAAGUGCUGUGGCCCAACAAUCCUGCCGCGUUCAAUCACCUAAAUACCCUUUCUCCUCCAUUCUGAUGCCCACAUCUUAGAUGCCUGUUUGCAAUGAGUUGCUACCAUGUCACUGACUGGUUCACUAUUUGUGGUGUGCCUAAUAAAGUAGCUUGUGAGUGUAUUUCAAUCACAUGUACUUAUGUUUUGGUCAUGUAAGUGCAGUUAUAACAUGAGCAGUGCCAGAUAAACAGAGUCGUUGUUUGUUACCAGUAUUGUUUCUGCAAAACAUUUUCUGUGUAUCAAACCCAAGGGUAUGUUUACAAGAUCAAUCAAUGCAUCAAUCAAUUGGCCAGAGAUCAGAAUCAGACAAUUUUCCUAUUAAUUGGCUAAAACUUUUUCCCUAUUUAUUUCGGUCCAUAAACGCAUCAUCCAACAGUAUUUGCUUUGAUGCACUUUGAGCUUAAUAAAAAUGACAAAGUUUAAGGUUG
Long non-coding RNA from Girardinichthys multiradiatus, 1443 nucleotides. RefSeq lists it as uncharacterized. The transcript has 2 exons. Lineage: Eukaryota; Metazoa; Chordata; Actinopteri; Cyprinodontiformes; Goodeidae. The record is from RefSeq and is a predicted model, not a curated record.